CGCUUCAACCAGUUUAUUCCACUUCCGCGAUAUAAAACGUUUGGUCUUUUGUCAAGUUGUCCAUUAGGGCCUUGAAAGCUUAGACGAUUUAGGGAACACCGAAAAUGCUUCUACUCCUCGACGUAUAGAUAGUGACCACUAGUAUAGAAGAACUGACCACUUUUGAUUACAUAGAGCAGCAGCCGACAACAAAAUAUGCUGAUGAAUUGAAAGACAUGGGAUUCCAAAAUAAAUUACCCAGUAAAGCUCAAUACGAAGAAGAAUUCAUCUUGUUUCUGUAACUUUUUGACAGCCUCAAUAUCAAAACUUACUCAAAGUGCGAUGCCAAACCUGAGAGGAGACAUAUUUCAAGCAGUUUCAAUGCAUGAGCAAUUUUGGACCCUAUACUAAUCUUGGAGUCUGAAAUUUUCCAAGGCAAAUAGAAAAAUAGUAAUUCCUGUAAAUUUUACUUUUAACAUCUUUACUUCUUAUAUUACCUCUUCCAUGGCUAAUUUGUUGGUAGCUAUUUAAUUUAUAUUAUUUACUAAGGAACGCUACUAGUGAAUUGAGUAAAGGGUCAUUCUUUAGUGAUUUUAUGAGAAAUGUAUUGCUUUUGUAAAUUUACUUUUACUACAUUCUGUAUACAUUCUAUUUUGCAAACUUUGCUCUUCAUAUAACAAAGUUCCUUAUUAAAUUAAGUUGUAAGUUUAUACAAUUUGGAAGAAUUUUUAUAUUUUAUUUUAUAUUUUAACAAGUAUGUAUAAAGUCCAGUGCAACGAUAUAUUAGAAUGGUCACCCGUCAAAACACCAGCAUUCCACCUGCCAAACAAUG
Molecule: long non-coding RNA, 811 nt
Organism: Anthonomus grandis grandis
Lineage: Eukaryota; Metazoa; Arthropoda; Insecta; Coleoptera; Curculionidae
Exons: 3
Source: RefSeq, a predicted model, not a curated record